UACGUAGGGGGCAAGCGUUGUCCGGAAUCAUUGGGCGUAAAGCGCGUGUAGGCGGCCUUGUAAGUCCGUUCUGAAAGCCCGGGGCUCAACCCCGGGAGGCGGAUGGAUACUGCAAGGCUCGAGUACGGAAGAGGCGAGUGGAAUUCCCGGUGUAGCGGUGAAAUGCGCAGAUAUCGGGAGGAACACCAAUGGCGAAGGCAGCUCGCUGGGACGUUACUGACGCUGAGACGCGAAAGCGUGGGAGCGAACAGG
This 252-nucleotide ribosomal RNA is filed under the name uncultured bacterium. RNAcentral's name for it is "partial 16S ribosomal RNA". It matches the Rfam family "Bacterial small subunit ribosomal RNA", at positions 524 to 776 of the family's 1533-position model. The record is from RNAcentral.